RNAcentral lists this transfer RNA (73 nucleotides) under Pocillopora damicornis (cauliflower coral). Its description in RNAcentral is "tRNA-Asn". It matches the Rfam family "tRNA". From Rfam's summary of the family: Transfer RNA (tRNA) molecules are approximately 80 nucleotides in length. Their secondary structure includes four short double-helical elements and three loops (D, anti-codon, and T loops). Further hydrogen bonds mediate the characteristic L-shaped molecular structure. tRNAs have two regions of fundamental functional importance: the anti-codon, which is responsible for specific mRNA codon recognition, and the 3' end, to which the tRNAs corresponding amino acid is attached (by aminoacyl-tRNA synthetases). tRNAs cope with the degeneracy of the genetic code in two manners: having more than one tRNA (with a specific anti-codon) for a particular amino acid; and 'wobble' base-pairing, i.e. permitting non-standard base-pairing at the 3rd anti-codon position. Lineage: Eukaryota; Metazoa; Cnidaria; Anthozoa; Scleractinia; Pocilloporidae. The record is from Rfam by way of RNAcentral.
GGCUUGUUAGCUCAGUUGGUAGAGCGCUGCACAAUUAACACAGAGGUCGUGGGUUCAAAUCCCGUACGGGCCU